GUGAACGCUGGCGGUAGGCCUAACACCUGCAAGUCGAACGGCAGCACAGUAAGAGCUUGCUCUUACGGGUGGCGAGUGGCGGACGGGUGAGGAAUACAUCGGAAUCUACUUUUUCGUGGGGGAUAACGUAGGGAAACUUACGCUAAUACCGCAUACGACCUACGGGUGAAAGCAGGGGAUCUUCGGACCUUGCGCGAUUGAAUGAGCCGAUGUCGGAUUAGCUAGUUGGCGGGGUAAAGGCCCACCAAGGCGACGAUCCGUAGCUGGUCUGAGAGGAUGAUCAGCCACACUGGAACUGAGACACGGUCCAGACUCCUACGGGAGGCAGCAGUGGGGAAUAUUGGACAAUGGGCGCAAGCCUGAUCCAGCCAUACCGCGUGGGUGAAGAAGGCCUUCGGGUUGUAAAGCCCUUUUGUUGGGAAAGAGAAGCAGCAGGUUAAUACCCCGCUGUUCUGACGGUUCCCAAAGAAUAAGCACCGGCUAACUUCGUG
RNAcentral lists this ribosomal RNA (491 nucleotides) under uncultured bacterium. Its description in RNAcentral is "partial 16S ribosomal RNA". It matches the Rfam family "Bacterial small subunit ribosomal RNA", at positions 29 to 507 of the family's 1533-position model. The record is from RNAcentral.